CGCUGACCGAGACAUCACAGACGCUUCAACUUAAUCUUUUCGUGCGUUUGAGAGGUAGGUGCUGAGGCCUGUCUUUUCGGACCUGCCCUUCGCAUUGUCCGCUGUUCUCCUGAUCCGGGGCCCUGUCAUCCUCAGCUCGGUAACGUCGGUGCGCUCCUGUGUUUGCGGCCUGUGGCUGGUUUUCCUACGAAGCCCUAUAGCUGCCUGCUGACCGACUGGCCGACGGUGCCGGAAAGAUGAAGCUGUCCCUGGUGGCCGCGGUGCUGCUG
RNAcentral lists this non-coding RNA (269 nucleotides) under Ovis aries (sheep). RNAcentral describes it as "bip internal ribosome entry site (IRES)". It matches the Rfam family "bip internal ribosome entry site (IRES)". From Rfam's summary of the family: This family represents the bip internal ribosome entry site (IRES). BiP protein expression has been found to be significantly enhanced by the heat shock response due to IRES-dependent translation. It is thought that this translational mechanism is essential for the survival of cells under stress. The record is from Rfam by way of RNAcentral. Lineage: Eukaryota; Metazoa; Chordata; Mammalia; Artiodactyla; Bovidae.